RNAcentral lists this ribosomal RNA (496 nucleotides) under uncultured bacterium. Its description in RNAcentral is "partial 16S ribosomal RNA". It matches the Rfam family "Bacterial small subunit ribosomal RNA", at positions 30 to 523 of the family's 1533-position model. The record is from RNAcentral.
AUUGAACGCUGGCGGAAUGCUUUACACAUGCAAGUCGAACGGUAGAGGGGGCAACCCCUCGAGAGUGGCGAACGGGUGAGUAAUAUAUCGGAACGUGCCCAGUCGUGGGGGAUAACGUAGCGAAAGUUACGCUAAUACCGCAUACGAACUAAGGAUGAAAGCGGGGGAUCGCAAGACCACGGGCGAUCGGAGGGGCCGAUAUCAGAUUAGGUAGUUGGUGGGGUAAAGGCUCACCAAGCCAACGAUCUGUAGCUGGUCUGAGAGGACGACCAGCCACACUGGAACUGAGACACGGUCCAGACUCCUACGGGAGGCAGCAGUGGGGAAUUUUGGACAAUGGACGCAAGUCUGAUCCAGCCAUUCCGCGUGCAGGAUGAAGGCCCUCGGGUUGUAAACUGCUUUUGUACGGAACGAAAAGGUCUCUCUUAAUACGGGGGGCUCAUGACGGUACCGUAAGAAUAAGCACCGGCUAACUACGUGCCAGCAGCCGCCGUAA